This 435-nucleotide ribosomal RNA is filed under the name uncultured bacterium. RNAcentral describes it as "partial 16S ribosomal RNA". It matches the Rfam family "Bacterial small subunit ribosomal RNA", at positions 28 to 507 of the family's 1533-position model. The record is from RNAcentral.
GAUGAACGCUGGCGGUAUGCUUAACACAUGCAAGUCGAACGGACUCUUCGGAGUUAGUGGCGGACGGGUGAGUAACGCGUGAGAAUCUGGCUUUGGGUUCGGGACAACCACUGGAAACGGUGGCUAAUACCGGAUGUGCCGAGAGGUAAAAGAGAAAUUGCCUGAAGAUGAGCUCGCGUCUGAUUAGCUAGUUGGUGAGGCAAAGGCUCACCAAGGCAGCGAUCAGUAGCUGGUCUGAGAGGAUGACCAGCCACACUGGGACUGAGACACGGCCCAGACUCCUACGGGAGGCAGCAGUGGGGAAUUUUCCGCAAUGGGCGAAAGCCUGACGGAGCAAUACCGCGUGAGGGAAGAAGGCUCUUGGGUUGUAAACCUCUUUUCUUAGGGAAGAACAAAAUGACGGUACCUAAGGAAUCAGCAUCGGCUAACUCCGUG